This 248-nucleotide ribosomal RNA is filed under the name uncultured Ruminococcus sp. Its description in RNAcentral is "partial 16S ribosomal RNA". It matches the Rfam family "Bacterial small subunit ribosomal RNA", at positions 524 to 771 of the family's 1533-position model. The record is from RNAcentral. Lineage: Bacteria; Bacillati; Bacillota; Clostridia; Eubacteriales; Oscillospiraceae.
UACGUAGGUUGCAAGCGUUAUCCGGAUUUACUGGGUGUAAAGGGAGCGUAGACGGCAGCGCAAGUCUGAAGUGAAAUGCCGGGGCCCAACCCCGGAACUGCUUUGGAAACUGGCGGACUAGAGUGCGGGAGGGGUAAGCGGAAUUCCUAGUGUAGCGGUGAAAUGCGUAGAUAUUAGGAGGAACACCAGUGGCGAAGGCGGUCUGCUGGACAGCAACUGACGCUGAGGCGCGAAAGCGUGGGUAUCGA